RNAcentral lists this ribosomal RNA (460 nucleotides) under uncultured bacterium. RNAcentral describes it as "partial 16S ribosomal RNA". It matches the Rfam family "Bacterial small subunit ribosomal RNA", at positions 338 to 795 of the family's 1533-position model. The record is from RNAcentral.
CCUACGGGAGGCAGCAGUGAGGAAUAUUGGUCAAUGGACGAAAGUCUGAACCAGCCAAGUAGCGUGAAGGAUGACUGCCCUAUGGGUUGUAAACUUCUUUUAUAUGGGAAUAAAAUGUUCCACUUGUGGUAUUUUGUAUGUCCCAUAUGAAUAAGGACGGGCUAACUCCUUGCCAGCAGCCGCGGGAAUACGGAGGGUCCGGGCGUUUUCCGGAUUUAUUGGGUUUAAAGGGAGCGUAGGUGGGAUGUGAAGUCAGUUGUGAAAGUUUGGGGCUCAACCCUAGCAUUGCAGUGGAAACUGGCAGUCUUGAGUACAGGAGAGGUAGGCGGAAUUCGUGGUGUAGCGGUGAAAUGCUUAGAUAUCACGAAGAACUCCGAUUGCGAAGGCAGCUCACUGGAGUGCAACUGACGCUGAGGCUCGAAAGCGUGGGUAUCGAACAGGAUUAGAUACCCGUGUAGUC